This 58-nucleotide transfer RNA is filed under the name Ictidomys tridecemlineatus (thirteen-lined ground squirrel). Its description in RNAcentral is "Spermophilus tridecemlineatus (thirteen-lined ground squirrel) tRNA". It matches the Rfam family "tRNA", at positions 8 to 63 of the family's 71-position model. Rfam says of the family: Transfer RNA (tRNA) molecules are approximately 80 nucleotides in length. Their secondary structure includes four short double-helical elements and three loops (D, anti-codon, and T loops). Further hydrogen bonds mediate the characteristic L-shaped molecular structure. tRNAs have two regions of fundamental functional importance: the anti-codon, which is responsible for specific mRNA codon recognition, and the 3' end, to which the tRNAs corresponding amino acid is attached (by aminoacyl-tRNA synthetases). tRNAs cope with the degeneracy of the genetic code in two manners: having more than one tRNA (with a specific anti-codon) for a particular amino acid; and 'wobble' base-pairing, i.e. permitting non-standard base-pairing at the 3rd anti-codon position. The record is from Rfam by way of RNAcentral. Lineage: Eukaryota; Metazoa; Chordata; Mammalia; Rodentia; Sciuridae.
UAGCUCAGUUGGUAGAGCAUUUGCUUUAUGUGCACGAGGCCCUGGGUUCAAUCCCCAG